GACGAACGCUGGCGGCGUGCUUAACACAUGCAAGUCGAACGGAAAGGCCUCUUUCGGGGGGUACUCGAGUGGCGAACGGGUGAGUAACACGUGAGUAACCUGCCCUUGACUUUGGGAUAACUUCAGGAAACUGGGGCUAAUACCGGAUAGGAGCUCCUGCUGCAUGGUGGGGGUUGGAAAGUUUCGGCGGUUGGGGAUGGACUCGCGGCUUAUCAGCUUGUUGGUGGGGUAGUGGCUUACCAAGGCUUUGACGGGUAGCCGGCCUGAGAGGGUGACCGGCCACAUUGGGACUGAGAUACGGCCCAGACUCCUACGGGAGGCAGCGGUGGGGAAUAUUGCACAAUGGGUGGAAGCCUGAUGCAGCAACGCCGUGUGCGGGAUGACGGCCUUGGGGUUGUAAACCGCUUUCGCUCAUGACGAAGCUUUGUGUGACGGUAGUGGGUAAAGAAGCACCGGCUAACUACGUG
RNAcentral lists this ribosomal RNA (467 nucleotides) under uncultured bacterium. RNAcentral describes it as "partial 16S ribosomal RNA". It matches the Rfam family "Bacterial small subunit ribosomal RNA", at positions 28 to 507 of the family's 1533-position model. The record is from RNAcentral.